Molecule: ribosomal RNA, 517 nt
Filed under: uncultured bacterium
Lineage: Bacteria
Description: bacterial SSU rRNA
Rfam family: Bacterial small subunit ribosomal RNA
Source: RNAcentral
AAUCAACGCUGGCGGCGUGCGUAACACAUGCAAGUCGAACGCGAAAGGGGAGCAAUCCCUGAUUAGAGUGGCAAACGGGUGAGUAACACGUGGGUGACCUGCCUUCGAGUGGGGGAUAACCUUCCGAAAGGAGGGCUAAUACCGCAUGACAUACCGUGUUUGGAUACACGGAUAUCAAAGCCGGGGAUCGCAAGACCUGGCGCUUGGAGAGGGGCCCGCGUCCGAUUAGCUAGUUGGUGGGGUAACGGCUCACCAAGGCUCCGAUCGGUAUCCGGCCUGAGAGGGCGGACGGACACACUGGAACUGAGACACGGGUCCAGACUCCUACGGGAGGCCGCAGUGGGGAAUUGUUCGCAAUGGGCGAAAGCCUGACGACGCAACGCCGCGUGGAGGGUGAAGAAUUUCGGUUCGUAAACUCCUUUCGACCGAGAUGAAUACCCAUGGGUUUAAUACGCCUGUGGGCUGACAGUAUCGAGAGAAGAAGCCCCGGGCUAAACUCUGUGCCAGCCGCCGCUGU